RNAcentral lists this ribosomal RNA (261 nucleotides) under Proboscia inermis. Its description in RNAcentral is "partial Eukaryotic large subunit ribosomal RNA". It matches the Rfam family "Eukaryotic large subunit ribosomal RNA", at positions 929 to 1192 of the family's 3401-position model. Lineage: Eukaryota; Bacillariophyta; Melosirophyceae; Probosciales; Probosciaceae. The record is from RNAcentral.
GACUAAUCGAACCAUCUAGUAGCUGGUUCCCACCGAAGUUUCCCACAGGAUAGCUGGAACUUUUACAGUUUUAUCAGGUAAAGCGAAUGAUUAGAGGCCUUUGGGACGAAAUGUUCUAAACCUAUUCUCAAACUUUAAAUAGGUAAGAAGCCUCGCUUGCUUAAGUGAAGCGGGGCACUGAAUGUGAGUUCCAUGUGGGCCAUUUUUGGUAAGCAGAACUGGCGAUGCGGGAUGAACCGAUAGUCGGGUUAAGGCGCCCAA